Molecule: ribosomal RNA, 61 nt
Filed under: Circinaria sp. SDNU 20121441
Lineage: Eukaryota; Fungi; Ascomycota; Lecanoromycetes; Pertusariales; Megasporaceae
Description: partial 26S ribosomal RNA
Source: RNAcentral
UGACCUCGGAUCAGGUAGGGAUACCCGCUGAACUUAAGCAUAUCAAAAAACGCGGAGGAGG